AUAUAAAUUUAAUUCACCCACUAGAUUUUAACCCGCGGUAUACCGCAGAGACAAUUUAUUUUUUAAAUUAGUAUAUAUAAAAA
RNAcentral lists this small RNA (83 nucleotides) under Arabidopsis thaliana (thale cress). RNAcentral's name for it is "ATSL292410". Lineage: Eukaryota; Viridiplantae; Streptophyta; Magnoliopsida; Brassicales; Brassicaceae. The record is from RNAcentral.